RNA transcript from Hyla sarda, 1680 nucleotides. It is a transcript of the gene named WD repeat domain 54, with no coding region annotated. Lineage: Eukaryota; Metazoa; Chordata; Amphibia; Anura; Hylidae. The record is from RefSeq and is a predicted model, not a curated record.
GACCGGGAUGCCGAUCUGGUGACGGCAGAUGACUCCGGUGUACUGUGUGUCUGGAAGUCUGGGGAAGAUUUCCGGUUGGUGACGAAGAUUUCGGCGUAUGGGGUCACCUGCUCCUCAGUGAAGUUGUGGGACGGGGUAAUUGCCGCGGCUUACGGCACCGGGCAGAUCCGACUGUAUGAUGCCAGAACUGGAGCUAUAAGUGCUGAGAUGGAUUCCCAUGCCAGGUGGAUCUACACCCUGGACAUCGCUCCCGAGACCGGAAGAUUGCUCUCGGGGGCAGAGGACUCCUUUGUACAGAUCUGGCAGCUGCAUCGCGGUGAAGAUUCGGGGGUCAUUGAGGUCGAGCAUCGUCACUCGGAGUGUGUGACAGACACCCAGAUCUGCGGCGCCCGCUUCUGUGACCCCCAAGGAUCAUCCUUUGCUGUGACCGGCUACGACCUGAAUGAGAUCAUCAGAUACGUGCAGCUAUAAGAAGGGAAGGCUCCAGACUUAUCAUCAGAUACACCUCACCGUGCACCAUGGAGGCAAUAGAGAUCCAGAUAAUCUCAUAGCUGGACAAGAUUCCUGAUGACAAGAACGUUUUAUUAUUUCCUCAGAACUAGAAGAGGAAGUUCUUCAAGAAUUUUUCAUUUCUGAGAAAACCCUUUUGAAUAGAGAAGCUAUGGGCAAAAUCAAAUCAACCAUAAGCACCAUCCAGCGAAGAGACGUCACAGUAUUCCCUGUAUCGUAUGGAGCCACAUCUUUAUAUUCCCCAAAAAUGUCUGAUCAAGAACAUUUCCAAGAAUCGCCAUCAAGAUACAAGAGACUGUCUAUCAGUUAUAAUUAUGGGCUCUCCCCAGACCCCACAAUUCACACAACAUUACGCUUCUGACUUCCCAAAGACUCCAGGGAAUUAAAGUAAUACCAUACCUAGACAACUGGCUUCUCAUACCCUACUUCUUUAGCAUCUACAACUCUCAAGACCUCCUGAAGAAAAGUGGGACUUCCCAUCAAUUUGAGCAAAUUUAAUCUGGUUCCAUCAAUUUGGGUCUUAUCACAGAUUAUAACUGCCAGAGGCUUUUUCUUCCAUUGAAGACACAAUCCAAACUGAAGCCACACAUUCUUCAUCUUGUGAAGUCUCCAGCAGACACCAUCUGGGCAGCAAAUAAGGUGUUGAGUUUGGUGACAGCACUAAUAAUAGUAGUCCUGUGGGUUAAGGUUUAUAUUUGAGAUCCACAACCUGGGACAUGAAUGUUCACUAUCUGCCCGUUUUACUUUUUUCCCCUCUCUCCCACAGGACUCUUCAAUGGUCCCUCAAAAAUCUGUCCCAGGGCAACAGUUCCAAGCCUCAGACUCAAAACAAUCCAUCUUGCCCUACAGUACCACUGCUCAAGAACAAGGCUGUGCUUGUGCAAUCGUACAAUGCAGUCUUGGUAAGGGGGGACAAGAGCCCCAAUGUUGUAAAUAGAGUGCAUGAUCUUGAUGGCCUGGGCAGAAGACCAUCUUCUGUUCCUCUCAGCAGUUCAUAUCAAAGGAUCCCCUUAUAUUCAAGUGGAUCUGCUGAGUCCGAGGAUCUUAAGAUCCCAAUGAGUGAGAAUUGAACCCCAAAUACUUUAAGUAGAUAACACAAAGAGAGAAACACAGCUGCACAUCCACCAUUUGUAAUUUGAUCUACUUGCUUCUCAGCAUAAUUUCAAAAAU